AUACGUAGGGUGCGAGCGUUGUCCGGAAUUACUGGGCGUAAAGAGCUCGUAGGUGGUUUGUCGCGUCGUCUGUGAAAUUCCGGGGCUUAACUCCGGGCGUGCAGGCGAUACGGGCAUAACUUGAGUACUGUAGGGGAGACUGGAAUUCCUGGUGUAGCGGUGAAAUGGGCAGAUAUCAGGAGGAACACCGGUGGCGAAGGCGGGUCUCUGGGCAGUAACUGUCGCUGAGGAGCGAAAGCAUGGGUAGCGAACAGGAUUAGAUACCCUGGUAGUCCAUGCCGUAAACGGUGGGCGCUAGGUGUAGGGGUCUUCCACGACUUCUGUGCCGUAGCUAACGCAUUAAGCGCCCCGCCUGGGGAGUACGGCCGCAAGGCUAAAACUCAAAUGAAUUGACGGGG
RNAcentral lists this ribosomal RNA (398 nucleotides) under uncultured bacterium. Its description in RNAcentral is "partial 16S ribosomal RNA". It matches the Rfam family "Bacterial small subunit ribosomal RNA", at positions 523 to 918 of the family's 1533-position model. The record is from RNAcentral.